Parasteatoda tepidariorum (common house spider) is the source of this 480-nucleotide non-coding RNA. Lineage: Eukaryota; Metazoa; Arthropoda; Arachnida; Araneae; Theridiidae. The record is from RefSeq and is a predicted model, not a curated record.
ACUAGUUUAAUUGCAAAAAUUUUUCUUGAAUAUAAAUACAGCAUCUACCUGAGAGAGUUUCAGAAUUGUUCUACAGCUCAAAUUACAAUAUGUCUUUCCAACGUUUCCUCUUCGUUCUUGUAGUGUUGGCUGUUUUUGCUGUUUCAGCAAUGGCAAAAGUCCACCAUUAUCAAACAGGAGCAGCACCAGAACCAGAAGAAACAGAACAAGGAAUGGGAAUUUUAGGUGGAAUCAAGGAGGGACUCGAUGACAUACUCAGUACAGCUGGAGUUCACAACCAGUAAUCGGAAUUCAAAAUGAGAAAUAAAAAAUGCGCUGUUGGAAUUGAACCUUUGGCGAUUCAAUAGUAAUGUUCAAUGAAACAAUCAGUUAAUCAAGAUAUCCUUAUCAACAAAAAAUUUUAAACUACUUGUAAAUUUUCUCAACCAGUGUAAUAAAAAUGACUAAUGUGUAAUAAAAUUGUUAUUUUUAACAUUCAAA